AAAUAAUGAAUUAGAUUUAUAUUUGAAUAGAUUUUAUAUGUUAGUCAAUUAUGAAGUUUAAAAAUGUUGGCAGUAUACUAUUACAUUCUGAGAAACUUGCUUGAUUAAAAUGAUAUUACACAAUUUAUCUUACCUUGAUUUAUUGGUUUAUGUAUUGCUGUUUAAUUUAUUGUUUAUUAUUUUGAAUAAAUUUAAGUAAUAAUAAAAAUUAUUAAGAAAUUCAAGUCAAAAUGUAAUUUUAUUAAGGUUUAAGUGAGUUGCGUUUUUUUAGAUAAAGAGAAUGAUUAGUAAAUUGAAAGAUUUAUGAAUAAUGAGGAUUAGGUUGUAAAAAAAGAGUAGUUAGUUUUUUUGAUAAGGUUUAUAGUUAUGU
RNAcentral lists this ribosomal RNA (370 nucleotides) under Harveyus mexicanus. RNAcentral's name for it is "partial small subunit ribosomal RNA". Lineage: Eukaryota; Metazoa; Arthropoda; Arachnida; Schizomida; Hubbardiidae. The record is from RNAcentral.